This 396-nucleotide ribosomal RNA is filed under the name uncultured bacterium. Its description in RNAcentral is "bacterial SSU rRNA". It matches the Rfam family "Bacterial small subunit ribosomal RNA", at positions 367 to 759 of the family's 1533-position model. The record is from RNAcentral.
UCGAAGGGGCGCAGCCUGACCGCCUUCCGCGUGAGUGAAGAAGGCCUUCGGGUUGUAAAGCUCUUUCGCAAGGGAAGAAAGAUUACUCUCUAACAUAGAGUGAUUAUGACGGUACCUUGAUAAGAAGCACCGGCUAACUACGUGCCAGCAGCCGCGGUAAUACGUAGGGUGCGAGCGUUAAUCGGAAUUACUGGGCGUAAAGCGUGCGCAGGCUGUUUUGUAAGUCAGAUGUGAAAUCCCUGAGCUCAACUUAGGAACUGCGUUUGAAACUACAAGACUAGAAUAUGUCAGAGGGGGGUAGAAUUCCACGUGUAGCAGUGAAAUGCGUAGAGAUGUGGAGGAAUACCAAUGGCGAAGGCAGCCCCCUGGGAUAAUAUUGACGCUCAUGCACGAAAG